GCGGCAUGCCUUACACAUGCAAGUCGAACGGUAACGCGGGGCAACCUGGCGACGAGUGGCGAACGGGUGAGUAAUGCAUCGGAACGUGCCCAGUAGUGGGGGAUAGCCCGGCGAAAGCCGGAUUAAUACCGCAUACGACCUACGGGUGAAAGCGGGGGACCGUAAGGCCUCGCGCUAUUGGAGCGGCCGAUGUCGGAUUAGCUAGUUGGUGGGGUAAAGGCCUACCAAGGCGACGAUCCGUAGCUGGUCUGAGAGGACGACCAGCCACACUGGGACUGAGACACGGNCCAGACUCCUACGGGAGGCAGCAGUGGGGAAUUUUGGACAAUGGGGGCAACCCUGAUCCAGCCAUGCCGCGUGCGGGAAGAANGCCUUCGGGUUGUAAACCGC
RNAcentral lists this ribosomal RNA (390 nucleotides) under uncultured Ideonella sp. Its description in RNAcentral is "bacterial SSU rRNA". It matches the Rfam family "Bacterial small subunit ribosomal RNA", at positions 39 to 433 of the family's 1533-position model. The record is from RNAcentral. Lineage: Bacteria; Pseudomonadati; Pseudomonadota; Betaproteobacteria; Burkholderiales; Sphaerotilaceae.